RNAcentral lists this ribosomal RNA (492 nucleotides) under uncultured bacterium. RNAcentral describes it as "partial 16S ribosomal RNA". It matches the Rfam family "Bacterial small subunit ribosomal RNA", at positions 29 to 507 of the family's 1533-position model. The record is from RNAcentral.
AGUGAACGCUGGCGGUAGGCCUAACACAUGCAAGUCGAACGGCAGCACAGUAAGAGCUUGCUCUUACGGGUGGCGAGUGGCGGACGGGUGAGGAAUACAUCGGAAUCUACUUUUUCGUGGGGGUUAACGUAGGGAAACUUACGCUAAUACCGCAUACGACCUACGGGUGAAAGCAGGGGAUCUUCGGACCUUGCGCGAUUGAAUGAGCCGAUGUCGGAUUAGCUAGUUGGCGGGGUAAAGGCCCACCAAGGCGACGAUCCGUAGCUGGUCUGAGAGGAUGGGCAGCCAGACUGGAACUGAGACACGGCCAAGACUCCUACGGGAGGCAGCAGUGGGGAAUAUUGGACAAUGGGGGCAAGCCUGAUCCAGCCAUACCGCGUGGGUGAAGAAGGCCUUCGGGUUGUAAAGCCCUUUUGUUGGGAAAGAAAAGCAGCAGGUUAAUACCCCGCUGUUCUGACGGUACCAAAAGAAUAAGCACCGGCUAACUUCGUG